UCCACUGUGUGGUUUGCCUUAAGUU
RNAcentral lists this non-coding RNA (25 nucleotides) under Rattus norvegicus (Norway rat). The record is from RNAcentral. Lineage: Eukaryota; Metazoa; Chordata; Mammalia; Rodentia; Muridae.